This 1167-nucleotide long non-coding RNA is filed under the name Gallus gallus (chicken). RNAcentral's name for it is "lncRNA (ENSGALG00010000736.1)". Lineage: Eukaryota; Metazoa; Chordata; Aves; Galliformes; Phasianidae. The record is from RNAcentral.
CAACUACUGAUUAUGUAUUAGUUCGACCUGUAUCUAUAGCACGAUUUCUCCUGACGGUGUGCAAGUUAGGUGGAGCGAUCCUCAUUGCACCAGGGUGUACGCGUGUCACCAAUAAACACAUGCCUGCUCUAUAUCCUUACUGGCUAUAGGGUCUGAUUUCCGCACGUCAAGAGCUGCUUGUGUCCUGGGAGGAGAGCGAGCCGUUCCCUGUGUCUGUCAGAGGAGUGAAGGUGCCAAAAUGCCGGCCCAUCUGGGCAGGCAACACGCUGCCAAAGAGAGGGGAAGGAGAACUCCCGUCCUGCUUCUAGUAGUCCUUUCUGCUGGAGCCUUCCUCUGGAUAUUGGCAGCUUGGAAAAAUGACGUCCUGCAGGUCAGUGCUGUGGUGUGCGGCAGAGGCCAAAGCUCUGCCCUUCUGCCUCCGCGGGGACGGGGGAGUUUGGCCAUGGGCUCAUCACUGCUGAGACAGAGGGUGGGCCCUUGAGCCGGGCUGGGGGUCGCCUUGGCAGCAGGAUGGGCUUCGGUGUGGAAGCAUCUUCCCAGUGCCCACCACCGAGCUCGGGCUGAAGGCGGUGGCACGUGGGAAGAAGGGGCCUUCAACCAAUCCUUGGCACUGCGGAGCCUGGAGGGGAUUGGAAAGCAAACAAAGAAGCAGCAGAUGCUCUGCAGGAUGCAGAGGGCUUAAGAGCCCAACUUUGGGCAGCGGUUCUCUGCAAACUGCUGGGAAGCAGCAGGACAUUCUGCCAGCAGUUCCCUGGGAAGCUCCUUUGGAUGCCGUGCUCCUGGUGCUUCCUCCCAUCGAAUGCCUUUCUCUUCCAGCUGGUGUCAGCAGGACCUGUGCAUGAGCUCCCGUGUCUGGGCUAAGAACACUUCCUUGCCACGCAGCUGGCUCUGUGGUGUGGCCUCAGCUGGCUGUGCGCUCUUUGCAUGCCUUUGCCUUGUGCCCAGGGCUCCAGCCUUUCCUGUCUUGACGGUGUAAGGCAGCCCUUGCCAAAGCAAAGGAAUGAAAGGGGUGGAGGGAUAAGGAAGGGCACAACCCCCAGAAUCCUUCACCUCAUGGCACUGGAGCUCUGACCUGCGGGGUGGGCAGCGCUGAACAAGACUUGCUUUGCCUUUGCCUUCAGGAACUCACCGGUUUGCCUGGAGGGGAAGAGGCAGGAGCUGAAAAUG